RNAcentral lists this unclassified non-coding RNA (167 nucleotides) under uncultured Oidiodendron. Its description in RNAcentral is "sequence contains ITS1". The record is from RNAcentral. Lineage: Eukaryota; Fungi; Ascomycota; Leotiomycetes; Myxotrichaceae.
CAGAGUUCUCGCCCCUCCGGGUAGAUCUCCCACCCACUGUGAUUGAUACUGUGUUGCUUUGGCGGGCCGCCGGGCCCUGCCCGUCCGCCGGCUCCGGCUGGCGCGCGCCCGCCAGAGGCUCCGCAAACUCUGAAUGUCAGUGUCGUCUGAGUACUAUAUAAUAGUUA